This is a long non-coding RNA of Psammomys obesus (fat sand rat), 693 nucleotides long. RefSeq lists it as uncharacterized. The transcript has 3 exons. Lineage: Eukaryota; Metazoa; Chordata; Mammalia; Rodentia; Muridae. The record is from RefSeq and is a predicted model, not a curated record.
GGUUUGCUCAAGGUUACUUACUAAAUAAGUACUAGAACAAGUGCAGAAAAAGCAGGACUCACGAUUCCUGUUUCUGUAUUCAACCCAGGAAAUCCUGUUGCCUUCCAAACCAUGACAUGAUCUCAGGAGUGGUUUCUGCAAGGCCAUCCAGGAUGAAGCAAAUGCUGUUUGGAGUGCUUUUGCUCAAAGGGUCACACACCCCAAGUAAGGAUUCUUUCUGCUAUGUUGUCACCAAGGCAAAUUUUACAGGCUGCCAUGGAUGACACAGGACGUUAGCAGCAUGAUGUGUUUUCAACAGUACAUAAGGCUCAGAAAGUAAAAUGAUGAGCAAAACAAAGGUUUUUCUUUCUGGAUGCUCUGGGAUUGCGUAUAUAAACUAACAAGACUACCAAGACUCACUCUCAAGACAACCAGCCAAGCAACCUUGAAGAAGCCAGUGCCAGCCGGACUGCCAGGAGGAGGCUCAGACCAAUGGAUCCACCUGGAAAGACUCUCCAACACAUUGAGCUGCCUGUGCACUGUGCACUGUGCGCCGGGUUUCCAGAUUUUGUGAGCUGUCACCAGUGAGAACUGUCUUUAUGUAGCUGGCUUUGUGUAAUUUCUUCUCCUGUAAAUAGCCUUUCACCCAUAUGUUCCUGAUAAAACUCACUGAUUCACCAAAUUAGAUAUAGGUGCAGUCAUUACUUUGGUCUA